Non-coding RNA from Leopardus geoffroyi (Geoffroy's cat), 468 nucleotides. NCBI's taxonomy places the organism in Eukaryota, Metazoa, Chordata, Mammalia, Carnivora, Felidae. The record is from the annotation of a RefSeq genome assembly.
CCAGCCCCGACCCUGCAGCUGGGAGACGAGCCCCAGCACCAGGAGUCCCAGGUGUUCCCAUUCUGUGAUCAGCACAGAACACACACACCUCACCAUGGAGUUUGUGCUGGGCUGGGUGUUCCUGGUUGCUCUUUUAAAAGGUGUCCAGUGUGAUGUGCAGCUGGUGGAGUCUGGGGGAGACCUGGCGAAGCCUGGGGGGUCCCUGAGACUCACCUGUGUAGCCUCUGGAUUCACCUUCAGUAGCUAUGGAAUGAGCUGGAUCCGCCAGGCUCCCGGGAAGGGGCUGCAGUGGGUCGCAGCAAUUGGUAGGAGUGGAGGUAGCAUAUACUACGCAGACUCCGUGAAGGGCCGAUUCACCAUCUCCAGAGACAACGCCAAGAACACGCUGUAUCUCCAGAUGAACAACCUCAAGACCGAGGACACGGCCACAUAUUACUGCGCGGUGGGUUUCCUGUAGGGGCCGCAGGG